Molecule: non-coding RNA, 144 nt
Organism: Gossypium hirsutum (cotton)
Lineage: Eukaryota; Viridiplantae; Streptophyta; Magnoliopsida; Malvales; Malvaceae
Source: Rfam
UAUUAAAAAGUUCAUCCAUUUGUACCAUUAAAAAUCGGCACGGUUGACAAAAUAACUAUAUAGUACAUGUGGCGUGCUACAUGUACCUCGUGUUGACGUAUAAAGGCCAGUUUUUAACAAUAGAAAUUGAUAGAAUUUUUAACA